GUGAAAAGGACCCCGGGAGGGGAGUGAAAGAGAACCUGAAACCCUGUGUUUACAAGCUGUGGAAGUUCUUUAAAUGAACAACCGCGUACUUUUUGUAGAACGGUCCGGCGAGUUGCGGAUACUGGCAAGGUUAAGCACUUAAGGUGCGGAGCCGAAGGGAUACCAAGUCUUAACAGGGCGUAAAGUCAGUAUACGCAGACCCGAAACCGGGUGAUCUAUCCAUGUCCAGGUUGAAGUUGUCGUAAAAGACAAUGGAGGACCGAAGCCACAUCCGUUGAAAAGGGUGGGCAUGAGGUGUGGAUAGGGGAGAAAUUCCAAUCGAACCCGGAGAUAGCUGGUUCUCCUCGAAAUAGCUUUAGGGCUAGCCUCGAUUUAGUCUUAUGGAGGUAGAGCACUGAAUUUCCGCGGGGGCGUCAAAGCUUACCAAAGAAUAUCAAACUCCGAAUGCCAUGUAGAUGAUGAUCGGGAGUCAGACUGCACGAGAUAAGUUGGGCAGUCAAAAGGGAAAGAGCCCAGACCACCGGCUAAGGUCCCAAAGUGCGUGUUAAGUGGAAAAGGAUGUGGGAAUUCGAAGACAACUAGGAUGUUGGCUCAGAAGCAGCCAUACAUUCAAAGAGUGCGUAACAGCUCACUAGUCGAGAGUUCCUGCGCCGAAAAUGUCCGGGGCUGAAACACGACACCGAAGCCGUGGACUCGCAAUGCGAGUGGUAGAGGAGCAUUCUUAAAACCGACGAAGCUGUACCGGAAGGAGCAGUGGAGGGAUAAGAAGAGAGAAUGCCGGAAUGAGUAGCGAGAGAAAGGUGGGAAUCCUUUCGGCCGAAUAUCUAAGGUUUCCAGAGUAAAGCUGAUCUGCUCUGGGUAAGUCGGGGCCUAAGCACAGGUCGCAAGACGUAAGCGAUGGAUAACAGGUUUAGAUUCCUGUACCACGCAUUAUCAGAACUGUAGGGACGCAUGUGGAAAGCACGGGCCGGGAAUGGAAAGACCGGUACAAGCGGGGUAGGAGUACAAUAGGCAAAUCCGUUGUAUGAUCCGAAGACGUGAUGUGGAGCGAAAUAAAGUAGUGAAGCGUGUGAGCCAUGUGCCGAGAAAAGCUGCUAUUGUGUAAUGCGUGCCCGUACCGUAAACCGACACAGGUGGAUGAGGAGAGAAUCCUAAGGCCGACGGAAGAAGCAUUGUUAAGGAAUUCGGCAAAAUGACCCCGUAACUUCGGGAGAAGGGGUGCCUGCGAGAGCAGGCCGCAGAGAAUAGGCUCAAGCAACUGUUUAGCAAAAACACAGGUCUAUGCGAAACCGAAAGGUGAGGUAUAUGGGCUGACGCCUGCCCGGUGCUGGAAGGUUAAGAGGAGAGGUUAGCGCAAGCGAAGCUUUGAAUUUAAGCCCCAGUAAACGGCGGCCGUAACUAUAACGGUCCUAAGGUAGCGAAAUUCCUUGUCGGGUAAGUUCCGACCCGCACGAAAGGCGUAAUGAUUUGAGCACUGUCUCGACAAUGCAUCCGGUGAAAUUGAAGUACCAGUGAAGAUGCUGGUUACCCGCGCCAGGACGGAAAGACCCCAUGGAGCUUUACUCCAGUUUGAUACUGGGAUUCGGUACUGCAUGUACAGGAUAGGUGGGAGACGAAGAAGGAUGGACGCCAGUCUGUCCGGAGUCGCUGUUGGGAUACCACCCCUGUAGUACUGGGUUUCUAACCAGUUGCCAUGAACUGGCAAUGGGACAAUGUCAGGCGGGGAGUUUGACUGGGGCGGUCGCCUCCGAAAGGGUAUCGGAGGCGCUCAAAGGUUCCCUCAGAAUGGUUGGAAACCAUUUGAAGAGUGCAAAGGCAGAAGGGAGCUUGACUGCGACACCGACGGGUGGAGCAGGUACGAAAGUAGGACUUAGUGAUCCGGUGGUAUAAAGUGGGAUUGCCAUCGCUCAACGGAUAAAAGCUACCCUGGGGAUAACAGGCUU
This 1943-nucleotide ribosomal RNA is filed under the name human gut metagenome. RNAcentral describes it as "bacterial LSU rRNA". It matches the Rfam family "Bacterial large subunit ribosomal RNA", at positions 514 to 2484 of the family's 2925-position model. The record is from RNAcentral.